UGGGGAAUUUUGGACAAUGGGCGCAAGCCUGAUCCAGCCAUGCCGCGUGCGGGAAGAAGGCCUUCGGGUUGUAAACCGCUUUUGUCAGGGAAGAAAUCUUCUGAGUUAAUACCUCGGGAGGAUGACGGUACCUGAAGAAUAAGCACCGGCUAACUACGUGCCAGCAGCCGCGGUAAUACGUAGGGUGCAAGCGUUAAUCGGAAUUACUGGGCGUAAAGCGUGCGCAGGCGGUUUUGUAAGACAGAGGUGAAAUCCCCGGGCUCAACCUGGGAACUGCCUUUGUGACUGCAAGGCUUGAGUGCGGCAGAGGGGGAUGGAAUUCCGCGUGUAGCAGUGAAAUGCGUAGAUAUGCGGAGGAACACCGAUGGCGAAGGCAAUCCCCUGGGCCUGCACUGACGCUCAUGCACGAAAGCGUGGGGAGCAAACAGGAUUAGAUAGCCCUGGUAGUCCACGCCCUAAACGAUGUCAACUGGUUGUUGGGAAGGUUCCUUCUCAGUAACGUAGCUAACGCNUGAAGUUGACCGCCUGGGGAGUACGGCCGCAAGGUUGAAGC
Molecule: ribosomal RNA, 553 nt
Filed under: uncultured bacterium
Lineage: Bacteria
Description: partial 16S ribosomal RNA
Rfam family: Bacterial small subunit ribosomal RNA
Source: RNAcentral